UACGGGGGGAGCAAGCGUUGUCCGGAUUUAUUGGGUUUAAAGGGUGCGUAGGCGGCCUAUUAAGUCAGUGCUGAAAUAUCCCGGCUUAACCGGGAGGGUGGCAUUGAUACUGAUGGGCUUGAGUAGAGUUGAGGUUGGCGGAAUUGACGGUGUAGCGGUGAAAUGCUUAGAUAUCGUCAAGAACACCUAUUGCGAAGGCAGCUAACUAAGCUCAAACUGACGCUGAGGCACGAAAGUGUGGGGAUCAAACAGG
This 253-nucleotide ribosomal RNA is filed under the name uncultured bacterium. RNAcentral's name for it is "partial 16S ribosomal RNA". It matches the Rfam family "Bacterial small subunit ribosomal RNA", at positions 524 to 776 of the family's 1533-position model. The record is from RNAcentral.